This 555-nucleotide ribosomal RNA is filed under the name uncultured bacterium. Its description in RNAcentral is "bacterial SSU rRNA". It matches the Rfam family "Bacterial small subunit ribosomal RNA", at positions 98 to 687 of the family's 1533-position model. The record is from RNAcentral.
GCGCACGGGUGAGUAGCGCGUGGGAACCUGCCCUUUGGUUCGGAAUAACCUCGGGAAACUGUGGCUAAUACCGAAUGUGGCCCUACGGGGGAAAGAUUUAUCGCCAAAGGAGGGGCCCGCGUCCGAUUAGGUAGUUGGUGAGGUAACGGCUCACCAAGCCUGUGAUCGGUAGCUGGUCUGAGAGGAUGAUCAGCCACACUGGGACUGAGACACGGCCCAGACUCCUACGGGAGGCAGCAGUGGGGAAUAUUGGACAAUGGGGGCAACCCUGAUCCAGCAAUGCCGCGUGAGUGAUGAAGGCCUUCGGGUUGUAAAGCUCUUUCGCCCACGACGAUGGUGACGGUAGUGGGAGAAGAAGCCCCGGCUAACUUCGUGCCAGCAGCCGCGGUAAUACGAAGGGGGCUAGCGUUGUUCGGAGUUACUGGGCGUAAAGGGCGCGUAGGCGGCUGUCCAAGUCGGGUGUGAAAGCCCAGGGCUCAACCCUGGAUGUGCACUCGAGACUGGCUGGCUAGAGGACGGGAGAGGAUGGUGGAAUUCCCAGUGUAGAGGUGAAAU